UGCAAGUCGUGCGAGAAAGUAUCUUCGGAUAUGAGUAGAGCGGCGGACGGGUGAGUAACGCGUAGGAAUCUACCUAGUAGAAGGGGAUAGCCCGGGGAAACUCGGAUUAAUACCGUAUACCUCCUUUGGGAGAAAGAGGGCCUCUCUUGAUGCUCUCGCUAUUAGAUGAGCCUGCGUAAGAUUAGCUUGUUGGUAAGGUAAUGGCUUACCAAGGCUACGAUCUUUAGCUGGUCUGAGAGGACGAUCAGCCACAUUGGGACUGAGACACGGCCCAGACUCCUACGGGAGGCAGCAGUGGGGAAUAUUGGACAAUGGGCGCAAGCCUGAUCCAGCCAUACCGCGUGUGUGAAGAAGGCCUUCGGGUUGUAAAGCACUUUAAGCAGGGAGAAAAAGCUAUAAGUUAAUACCUUAUAGCCGUGAUGUUACCUGCAGAAUAAGCACCGG
RNAcentral lists this ribosomal RNA (444 nucleotides) under uncultured Pseudomonadota bacterium. RNAcentral describes it as "bacterial SSU rRNA". It matches the Rfam family "Bacterial small subunit ribosomal RNA", at positions 56 to 496 of the family's 1533-position model. The record is from RNAcentral. Lineage: Bacteria; Pseudomonadati; Pseudomonadota.